AUACGGAGGGGGCUAGCGUUGUUCGGAAUUACUGGGCGUAAAGGGCGCGUAGGUGGUUUUAUCAGUCAGGCGUGAAAGCCUCGGGCUCAACCCGAGAACUGCGUUUGAUACUGUAGAACUAGAGUCCGGUAGGGGAAAGUAGAAUUCCUAGUGUAGAGGUGAAAUUCGUAGAUAUUAGGAGGAAUACCUGAGGCGAAGGCGGCUUUCUGGACCGAUACUGACGCUGAGAUACGAAAGCGUGGGGAGCAAACAGGAUUAGAAACCCCAGUAGUCC
This 274-nucleotide ribosomal RNA is filed under the name uncultured bacterium. Its description in RNAcentral is "partial 16S ribosomal RNA". It matches the Rfam family "Bacterial small subunit ribosomal RNA", at positions 523 to 796 of the family's 1533-position model. The record is from RNAcentral.